GCAAGUCGCGGGGUAACAUUGGACUUCGGUUCAGAUGACGACCGGCGCACGGGUGAGUAACGCGUACACGACCUACCUUUUACUGGAGGAUAGCCCUUGGAAACUGGGAUUAAUACUGCAUAAUAUUAUGAUUAAUAAAGGUUCAUAAUCAAAGCUACGGCGGUUAAAGAUGAGUGUGCGUUCCAUUAGCGAGUUGGUGUGGUAAAGGCGCACCAAGGCGACGAUGAUAGGGGGGGUGAGAGCGUGAUC
Molecule: ribosomal RNA, 249 nt
Filed under: uncultured bacterium
Lineage: Bacteria
Description: partial 16S ribosomal RNA
Rfam family: Bacterial small subunit ribosomal RNA
Source: RNAcentral